CCGACAUCUUCUUGUUUUGAUCUCUUUACUUGUCGCUCUGUUCUGCCUCUCCCUGAGGUAAGUCUUAAACAUCAGCAAUCUUAUCAGUCAGUUAAAAGUAAAGUUUGGCUCUAAUUGCAGCGCACCAAACCUUACUUUUUAAAGACGAUUGCCUCUGACUUUUAAAGCGGCCACAAGAUCCGAGGACUGGCUUGACUAUGUUGAGGUUGAGGUUCAAGUGAUGGGCCCUCUAGAAUUUCAACUAAAUAUUAAGGCGUGUAAAACAUGUGGAUGGAAAUUAAGGAAGUUAAAUUGAUUUAAACCUUUUUUGUUGGAUUACUUAUGGCUAAGCUGAUGGAUAUUGCAACUCUGAUUUCUUUACAAUCAUGUUGGAUUAUUUGAUGGCUAGGCUCAUGGAUAUUGCAACUCUGAUUGCGUCAAUCACAGAUUAAUGUUUUGGAUUUUUUUUUGUAACAUUUGUGAAGCUCUGUAAUCUCGCUGUAAAAUGCUCUUUAUGCAUUUCUACAAUUCAAAUCAUCCAACAUGAUUGACGCAAUGUAUUCUAUA
This is a long non-coding RNA of Brassica oleracea var. oleracea, 546 nucleotides long. RefSeq lists it as uncharacterized. The record is from RefSeq and is a predicted model, not a curated record. Lineage: Eukaryota; Viridiplantae; Streptophyta; Magnoliopsida; Brassicales; Brassicaceae. The transcript has 2 exons.